Molecule: long non-coding RNA, 911 nt
Filed under: Homo sapiens (human)
Lineage: Eukaryota; Metazoa; Chordata; Mammalia; Primates; Hominidae
Description: HSALNT0365262
Source: RNAcentral
CAGAAAGGGAAAGGAGAGGAGUAAAGAGGAAAAGAGAACAGUGGUGGGUGCCUAUAAAGAGCCACACACCUUGCUGCAUGCUCUAUAUGUGGGCUAUUGUUUGUUCUCACAAUGAAUCUGAGUAGUAGAUAUAGCAUGCCCAUUUUCCAGGUAAUUGCUGAAGGAUUUUUGCUUCAAACAGGCUCUUGUUUGCAUCAAGUGUGGGGUGCAGCAAAGUGGACUCGGGACUGGCCGAUGUCUGGCCAGAAAUGCCAGGCAAGGGAAACAGUGACUCUAGUGGGGUCAGGAGAGGGGCAUCUGCUGGCCCAGGAGCGCAAGGCAGAGGGACUUCAUUGUCCCCCUUAUAGGUGAGGCGACUCUGAGGCAGGAGGUCCAAGUUUGCUGGACAAUGGCAGAAACAGAAUUCAAACACCUGUCUUCUAGGAGAAGUUCUGGUCUCUCCUCGGUGCUGCGGCUGCCCCGGGAAGAGUUUCCAGGAGCUGACAAGCAUUCAGAUGAGUAAAGAUGGGAUCGGAUUGAGAAAAGGAGAAGGGAGAGCAUAUUCGUUCUCUUUCCACCUCCCUCCCACAGCCUUUCAUGCUGAUCUCAUCUGACGAAGCUGCCUCCUCCUCCCUGGACUCUACAAGCCCCUGUCAUGAUGUUUCUCAGAUCCUGAAUUCCAGCGAAACAGAUGAUACUAACAAGUUUGAAGACCCCCACAGAGGAAUGGAAUCAGUAUGAGAACACAGUUUCUUCAUCUCCCUGUCCCAGAACUUCACCCUGGACUCCUCGACCAAUCAACAAUCUCCACACUUCGGCCCACUCCAAAACUCCUAAAAUCCCAAGCUCCAAACUCCUCUGGGAGAUGGAUUUGAGGCUUCCUCCCGUUUCCUUGUGUGGAAGCCCUGUCAUUAAACCUCUUUCUCUGCUGC